GACGAACGAGGGAGGCGUGCGUAACACAUGCAAGUCGAACGGAAAGGCCCUGCUUUUGUGGGGUGCUCGAGUGGCGAACGGGUGAGUAACACGUGAGUAACCUGCCCUUGACUUUGGGAUAACGUCAGGAAACUGGGGCUAAUACCGGAUAGGAGCUCCUGCUGCAUGGUGGGGGUUGGAAAGUUUCGGCGGUUGGGGAUGGACUCGCGGCUUAUCAGCUUGUUGGUGGGGUAGUGGCUUACCAAGGCUUUGACGGGUAGCCGGCCUGAGAGGGUGACCGGCCACAUUGGGACUGAGAUACGGCCCAGACUCCUACGGGAGGCAGCAGUGGGGAAUAUUGCACAAUGGGCGGAAGCCUGAUGCAGCAACGCCGCGUGCGGGAUGACGGCCUUCGGGUUGUAAACCGCUUUCGCCUGUGACGAAGCGUGAGUGACGGUAAUGGGUAAAGAAGCACCGGCUAACUACGUG
This 468-nucleotide ribosomal RNA is filed under the name uncultured bacterium. RNAcentral describes it as "partial 16S ribosomal RNA". It matches the Rfam family "Bacterial small subunit ribosomal RNA", at positions 28 to 507 of the family's 1533-position model. The record is from RNAcentral.